CCCUUAGAUGUUCGGGGCCGCACGCGCGCUACACUGAAGGAAUCAGCACGUCUUUCUCCUUGUCCGAAAGGACUGGGUAACCCGCUGAACCUCCUUCGUGCUAGGGAUUGGGGCUUGUAAUUCUUCCCCAUGAACGAGGAAUUCCCAGUAAGCGCGGGUCAUAAGCUCGCGUUGAUUACGUCCCUGCCCUUUGUACACACCGCCCGUCGCUACUACCGAUUGGAUGGUUUAGUGAGAUCCUCGGAUUGGUCCCGGCGCGGCCUCUGGUCGUGCCGGAGUGCCGAAAAGAAUGUCGAACUUGAUCAUCUAGAGGAAGUAAAAGUCGUAACA
RNAcentral lists this ribosomal RNA (330 nucleotides) under uncultured eukaryote. RNAcentral's name for it is "partial 18S ribosomal RNA". It matches the Rfam family "Eukaryotic small subunit ribosomal RNA", at positions 1470 to 1796 of the family's 1831-position model. The record is from RNAcentral.